Molecule: long non-coding RNA, 305 nt
Filed under: Phoenix dactylifera (date palm)
Lineage: Eukaryota; Viridiplantae; Streptophyta; Magnoliopsida; Arecales; Arecaceae
Description: long non-coding RNA (PDAC_LNC011736)
Source: RNAcentral
UGGUCCACAGAUUUUGUCCUUUUCAAAAAUCAAUUUUGGCACAUCCUUUAUUAAUUCCUUCUUGACUAGUUUUGAGAUUAAUUUCAUACUAGCAUGUCCUAGUCUACGAUGCCAAAGCCAACUUGUUUCAUUUUUCUUUUCUUCAUUAGUAAUUAAGCAUAAUCCAUUUUUCUUGCCUAAAUCAUGAAGAUCUACCAAGUAAAUAUUUCUUUGUCUUUGUCCUACAAGUACAAUGCUAUUAUCUUUAGGAUUUGUGAUUAUGCAUACAGAUGCUUCAAAUGUGACUUUAAACCCUUUAUCACAAA